UAAGGAAUAUUGGACAAUGGAGGCAACUCUGAUCCAGCCAUGCCGCGUGAAGGAAUAAGGCACUAUGGGUUGUAAACUUCUUUUAGACGGGACAAAACCCCUUUACGUGUAAAGGGUUGAUGGUACUGUCAGACUAAUCAUCGGCUAACUUCGUGCCAGCAGCCGCGGUAAUACGGAGGGUGCGAGCGUUAUCCGGAUUUACUGGGUUUAAAGGGUGCGUAGGUGGGCUUAUAAGUCAGUGGUGAAAUCUCCGA
This 254-nucleotide ribosomal RNA is filed under the name uncultured bacterium. RNAcentral's name for it is "partial 16S ribosomal RNA". It matches the Rfam family "Bacterial small subunit ribosomal RNA", at positions 355 to 606 of the family's 1533-position model. The record is from RNAcentral.